GACGAACGCUGGCGGCGUGCUUAACACAUGCAAGUCGAACGGAAAGGCCCUGCUCUUGUGGGGUGCUCGAGUGGCGAACGGGUGUGUAACACGUGAGUAACCUGCCCUUGACUUUGGGAUAACUUCAGGAAACUGGGGCUAAUACCGGAUAUGAGCUCCUGCUCCAUGGUGUGGGUUGGAAAGUUUCGGCGGUUGGGGAUGGACUCGCGGCUUAUCAGCUUGUUGGUGGAGUAGUGGCUUACCAAGGCUUUGACGGGUAGCCGGCCUGAGAGGUUGGCCGGCCACAUUGGGACUGAGAUACGGCCCAGACUCCAACGGGAGGCAGCAGUGGGGAAUAUUGCACAAUGGCCGGAAGCCUGAUGCAGCAACGCCGCGUGCGGGAUGACGGCCUUCGAGUUGUAAACCGCUUUCGCCUGUGACGAAGCGUGAGUGACGGUAAUGGGUAAAGAAGCACCGGCUAACUACGUG
Molecule: ribosomal RNA, 468 nt
Filed under: uncultured bacterium
Lineage: Bacteria
Description: partial 16S ribosomal RNA
Rfam family: Bacterial small subunit ribosomal RNA
Source: RNAcentral